GGAAGUGUUCUCCUCAAGCCCUCUCAUGAUGCCUAUCACGACAAAUCCUGGAGCGAGUGCGGUUGCAACAGUCGUAGGUGUUAUCCUAGCUAUCCUGGUCAUCGUUGUCAUCGUUCUUGUGGUCCUCAUCUACAUAAGAAAAAAGAAUGAAAUGCCCCUGCUCCACGACAGAGAGAACGGCUUCUCUAUGGAACCAGUGAUGGGCCAUGAGAAAGAACAGGG
Molecule: long non-coding RNA, 222 nt
Organism: Asterias rubens (European starfish)
Lineage: Eukaryota; Metazoa; Echinodermata; Asteroidea; Forcipulatida; Asteriidae
Exons: 4
Source: RefSeq, a predicted model, not a curated record